GGCAGCUGGGUGCGAGACGUCGGCCCCCACCAGCCCAGGGUCCUCUGCAAAAUCCCCACUCAAACUGUGGAGAGCAGAACAGAGUAAACAGAGCAGGCUGCAAGGGGGGCCAAGAACACGAGGCGGGGUCACAUCAACAGUGGGGGGGUGCCAGGUGGAAGGGGCCAGCCCUCUGAGGCACUGUGUCCUGUGUCGGCAACUUCCCCCAGAACAUUCUGAGAGCAGAUCCAGAGAUGAAUGAGAGCGGGGCUCUAGACCGUAGUGGAAGGUCUCUCCUUGUGCGGCUCCCCUGCUCCCAGCCCAGCCCAGCCUCGGGAGAGACCAGAAAACUGCCAGCACACGGUGGGGACCCGGGGCCACGGGGACCAGGAGGAACAGGGUAGGGCCAUGUGCUCAGGCUGCAGGCCCCUGCUUGGGUGGGAGACCCCCCAGCCUCGGGAGGCCGGACAGCACAGGUGCACCCAGAGCAUCUCCCCGGAAAAGGGCUCACACAUCCACACCAGUACGGCAAUGCCACAGAGUUGGUCAGGCCCGAGUGCCUGGAAGUCAAGUCCCUCCCUUCAGUUAUCCUGGGGCCCGAGUUUCCUCCAAUAAAAAUAACACUACCAGUAUUCACUGGGCACUCACUCCAUGCCAGGAAACGUGCUGAAUGCUUUCCGCAGAAUACGCUGUUCUGUUCUCCCCAACCUGAGCAUCGAUCCUCUUAGUAUUCCCAUUUUAAAGAUAUGGAAAUUGAGGCCUGAAGUGACUGGAGCAGGAUGGGAAGACGGACAAGUGGCUUUGACUGGAGAUGCUUUGCUCCAGCGUCCCCAACCCGCACCCUGGGGAUGGGGGGGGGGGGGGGCAUUCUGGUUUCAAGAUGGUCGCUGAGCCACAGGGAACAGUUGGGGGCGCUCUGCUUCACCUCACGGGCACCCCACAAUUCCUCAGAGCACGUGGCUCUCCCAGAAAGAGGUCACGCAGAACCGGUCUACACUAGAAGUCUGUCUGCCCAAGCGGCAGCAACAGUAUUCUCCGAUCCCAUGAGGCCGAGCUAAAAAUAACUCCAUCCCGACAAUAUUUUGAGAAAUAAAGUGCCUUGAAAUGUCAUGGGAGGUAGCACAAACUUCUCAGGAAGUGCUUCCUUCCUCCGCCACGCCUCUGUUGCAGGAAUUGAGAGGCAAUCAGGGCACGCACUGGUGAGCACGCCCAGGCUCUAGGAUGCAGUCAGCUUUCCAACAGCUGCAGGAGCCGGGCAAGUCAGAAGCCACUCGGAGGCUUACUUUUCUGUGAGAUGGGGUGGGCGGAAAGGACCCGGAGAGUUCCCGAGGGUUCUCCUAGAUGUGGAGAAGAGAGGGCAACCGGGAGACGGCACUCUGGGAAGCAGAAGGGCAGUGGCAGGGCCGUGAGACCCACCGAGGCGAGACCUGCAGACCGCGGGGAAAGCGACAGCAAAUGGCAGGGUGCUCAGCAGACUCCGCAGGGUGGGCCCAGCCCUCAGCGCCGGGGUGGGAGGCUUGUGGGGGGGGGGGGGGGUCACCGGGGAAGGGGGAACUGGAAUGGCCCAGAAGGGGGCUCAGUCACAACAGAGGACAAGGACUCUGUCAGGUCCUAAGAGGGUGUUUUCAUCACCUGGGCCACACCCCCAAUCUGAGCCCAACCCACACCCCAUGUCUCUGCUCUGUGGCGGCUCACGCUUGGGGGUAGAAACCCACACACGCUUGUAACAGGGCAAAAUAAGCCCAGAGGCUUCUGUUUAUGAUGCAGUCUACAUUACUCACCCCUGGCUGAGAUCUCCCCGUCCCACCCCCGAGGCAGGAGGCACAGAAAGCAGGAAACGGGGAGCCCGGCUCUUAGGACCAACCCUCACGCUGGCCACCCGGCCCUCUGGCCUCAGUACCCAUCUGUGAAAUGGGGGCAGUGUGAUGGAUGAGAUAAGGCGCAGGCAUUAUCCACAAUGAGCGCAGCCUGUAAACAGCACCUCGAGGCAGCCGUGCUGGGGCGCAAGGAAGAGUGGGGCUCACGCCAGCUGCUUCCGGCCUGGAGCGGGGCAGCCAGGCAGAAGGUGCCCUGCGAGGCCUAGCCUCCCCACCUCGCCUCUGCACGGCCUGCUCUGGGCGGGCAUGCCCGCCGCCCACUCUCUGCAGCCCCGAUUCACGCCUCCAGCCCGAGUCCCCACUUCCGGCAACAAGGGGGAGCCCUGCCACGUGGACAGAGAGCGCGAACACCCCUAACACGUUCCUAGGCCCCCAGGAGAUCCCCAAGCUCCGUGUUCCCAGCACCUCUCUCAGCAGCAAGGAGGAGGCAGAGACGGCAGGUGGGGAAACUGAGUCUGGGCAAGCUCGCCUGGGAUUCCAAGCAGAGGCUCUGGAGUCAGACACACCUGGUUCAACUCCCAGGCUAUUACUAUUUCUGAUGCUCACGUUUCUCAUUUAAAACCCAGAAAACUGUGUUUACCCUGCAAGCUGGUUGCACAAAGGAGGAAAAGCUCCACUGCUUACACUUGGUUAUGAUCUCACAGUUUGUGAGUUCGAGCCCUGCGUCAGACUCUGAGCUAACAUCGAGGAGCCUGCUUAGGUCUCUCUCUCUCUCUCUCUCUCUCUCAAAAUAAAUAAAUAAACUUUAUAAAGAUGGCUAUUAGUUUCAUUACCUGAGCGAUCAGGAGGCCUGAGCCAUCACCUGGCGGUCCGUAGCAGAGGCAGAAAGCACAGUCCAGGCGCCCAGCCCCUCACAGCUCAGUCCAUCCAUCCCCCAGGAGCUAACGGACUACUGACAGCUUCCAACCUGACCCGUCAAGAGCCACUGUCCAAGCUGAUCCUUGCCGAAUCCGACCCCACUCUCCCGGCUCGGAGCGACAACACAAGAUCUGUUUUUCGAUACAUCAGAUUCCCAGUGGUCUUCUGCCAAAUGGGGGCCUGUCCUGCUUCCUGCCUGCCUUCAGAGAGUCCCUUCCACAGUGACACUGAAGCUCUCUGCUCCCCUCCCCUCCCCCAGCCCUGCCUGCCCUCAGCUCCCCCAGGCCUCGGCUUACAGAACCCCCCCCCACUGACCCGGGAGACUUGGACUUUGGCUGCAGGACACUGCAGGACAGCUGGUCUCCCUGGAGCUCCGGGGUCCCUCGGCCUGCCCACAUAUUCUGUCCACCACACACGGGUCGGGGAGCAGGGCUAGAGUGUUCUCAGGCCUGCAGAGAGGAGCUGGGACACUAGGAGUCGCUACUGAGCUUCCGUCCCAGGGUGGCAGGGAGGCAGGACAGGAAUUUAUUUCAAACUAUUUCCUAUGGGGACACUGGUGCUUCCCCUCUACUAGUAGGUUCCAAACAGGUUAACCUCUUCCCCUCCUGGCUGACUCUGGCCAGAACAGGACGGGGGAUGACUUCCACACGCCACCUGGAUCCUGCCAGCCCCUAGAUACAGUCUCCACAAGACCCGUGAGGCCUCCAGGGGGACGCUGGGGAGGGAGUCCAAGGAAGGUCAGGUCCAUUCGGCUGUGAGGUGGGGCUGCACACAGGGGUGGGGUGGGCCCCUUCAGCCCCCGGCUCAGUUCCUAGCCUGUCUCGGCCUCUGCACCUGUAAAAGGGAGGGUGGGGUGUGGACGGGAUCUGAAGACAGUGCUCCUUGAAGCUUUCAAAUGCUCGGAAGAAGCAGAACCCGUUGCCUCUGCCCAGUGGAAUUCACAAGGAACCCCGAUACAGACAAGACAGCUGGUCUGGCUGAACCAGGGGUAGGGCCUGGAAGCCCCACAGGGAUCCCCCUAAUUCUCCUGAGGGGCCAGAGCAGAACUGGGGCUUGGAGCCCCGACCUGAGGACCCUGAGCCACAUUCUCUGCCCUGUGGCUCGGAGCUCCCUUGGCAGCUGUGAGUGGUUCCUCCUGGCACCAGCCCCCACCCAGCAGGACCUCACGGCACAUGUCCCUGGUGGCCGACUUGACUGGACUGGAGCGCCUGGGUGGCUCAGCCAGUUAAGCGUCCAGCUCUUGAUUUAGGCUCGAGUCAUGAUCUCAUGGUUCGUGAGAUCGAGCCCCGAGUCAGGCUCUGUGCUCACAGCAUGGAGCCUGCCUGGGAUUCUCCCUCUCCCUCCCUCUCUGCUCCUCCCCUGCUGGCUCGCUCUCUCUCUCUCAAAAUGAAUUAAUAAACACUAAAAAAAUAAAAAUAAAAAUCCACCGGACUAACUUAAAACCAUACAGAAACAAAUGGAGAGACAGUAAUCACAGGGAACCCUGCACGUGGUGGACUAUGGGUUCAAAGGCCAGCUCUCACCAGCUCUGUGACCCCAGGCAAGUUACUCAACCUCUCGGAAAUAAGAAUAGUUAGCCAUCCCCUGGGGAGUGUUAUGCUAAGUGAAAUAAGACAGUCAGAGAAAGACAGAGAUCAUACUUUCACUCACAUGUGGAAUUUGAGAAACUUAACAGAAGACUACGGGGAGGGG
Acinonyx jubatus (cheetah) is the source of this 4406-nucleotide long non-coding RNA. RefSeq lists it as uncharacterized. Lineage: Eukaryota; Metazoa; Chordata; Mammalia; Carnivora; Felidae. The transcript is spliced from 3 exons. The record is from RefSeq and is a predicted model, not a curated record.